This 184-nucleotide non-coding RNA is filed under the name Hahella sp. CCB-MM4. RNAcentral's name for it is "6S / SsrS RNA". It matches the Rfam family "6S / SsrS RNA". From Rfam's summary of the family: E. coli 6S RNA was the first non coding RNA to be sequenced, but its function was unknown until recently. It consists of 184 nucleotides that fold into an extended hairpin structure with a large single-stranded internal bulge. Lineage: Bacteria; Pseudomonadati; Pseudomonadota; Gammaproteobacteria; Oceanospirillales; Hahellaceae. The record is from Rfam by way of RNAcentral.
GACUCCCUAGAGUGUUGGCCAGUUGGAUGCGUCCUCGAGCCGAUGAAUUUUAUUUAUGGCGGCCGCCUGCGGGUGAUGUGUGCAAGUCCCACAUUGAUGGGAAAGCCUAAUUCAUCACAGAGGCCUCCUCCUUGAACCAAAGGGUUCAAGGGCCGUUUCUGACAGCGGCACUUCCGGGGAGUUU